This 728-nucleotide ribosomal RNA is filed under the name uncultured Selenomonas sp. RNAcentral's name for it is "bacterial SSU rRNA". It matches the Rfam family "Bacterial small subunit ribosomal RNA", at positions 66 to 764 of the family's 1533-position model. The record is from RNAcentral. Lineage: Bacteria; Bacillati; Bacillota; Negativicutes; Selenomonadales; Selenomonadaceae.
ACGGAGAUUAUUUUAAGCUUGCUUUUGAUGAUCUUAGUGGCAAACGGGUGAGUAACGCGUAGGCAACCUGCCUUUCCGAUGGGGACAACAGUUCGAAAGGACUGCUAAUACCGAAUGAUGUAUAUCUUCCGCAUGGAGGACAUACCAAAGACGGCCUCUAUUUAUAAGCUGUCACGGAAAGAUGGGCCUGCGUCUGAUUAGCCAGUUGGCGGGGUAAUGGCCCACCAAAGCGACGAUCAGUAGCCGGUCUGAGAGGAUGAACGGCCACAUUGGGACUGAGACACGGCCCAAACUCCUACGGGAGGCAGCAGUGGGGAAUCUUCCGCAAUGGACGAAAGUCUGACGGAGCAACGCCGCGUGAGUGAAGAAGGUUUUCGAAUCGUAAAGCUCUGUUGUCAGGGACGAGCAGGGGGAGUAUCAACAACACUCUCUUAUGACGGUACCUGACGAGGAAGCCACGGCUAACUACGUGCCAGCAGCCGCGGUAAUACGUAGGUGGCGAGCGUUGUCCGGAAUUAUUGGGCGUAAAGGGAGCGCAGGUGGGAAAGUAAGUCUGCUUUAAAAGUGCGGGGCUCAACCCCGUGAGGGAGUGGAAACUAUUUUUCUUGAGUGCAGGAGAGGAAAGCGGAAUUCCUAGUGUAGCGGUGAAAUGCGUAGAUAUUAGGAGGAACACCAGUGGCGAAGGCGGCUUUCUGGACUGUAACUGACACUGAGGCUCGAAAGCCAGG